UAUUUUUGUUGAGGGCGUUAAAGCCUGCCAAGAUUAUGACAAUACAGAUAAUUUUUAGGAAAGUUACUUUAGGUUGUGAAUAUUGAUAUAGAAAAGUUUUAUUAGUUUAAAAGUUAUAAUGUUGAAAUUAGUAGAAGGAAAACCUCGUAUUUUUUGUGGAUUAAUCAAGCCUAACUUUGGAUGGAGCAAUUGUUUAUAUUCGGGAAAUUAGUUUGUGAAAUUGUCUGCUAACACAAGUGAUACGAUGAUAGUUAGAGCUAAGGGAAAGGAACUCGGCAAAUAAGUAUUUNNNNNNNNNNNNNNNNNNNNCGCUCUUUGUAAAGGAUCUGAGAUAUAAGGAGUCCUGCCUGCCCGGUGACUUAGGUUAAACGGCCGCGGUAUUUUGACCGUGCAAAGGUAGCAUAAUCAUUUGCUUCUUAAAUGGGGGCUAGAAUGAAUGGCAAGACGUAAAUUAAGCUGUCUCUCUCUUAUACUUUUAAAUUAAUAUUUUUGUGAGGAGUCAAAAAUAAGGUCGUAGGACGAGAAGACCCUAUUGAGCUUUAGUAGAAGAAGCUGUAAUUAUUGUUUGUGUUUAAUUGCUAAUUAAUGGUUUAUAAUUUUAUUUGAUUUUACUAUUAAGGGCAUGGUGGUGUGCAGUGGGUACUUAGGUUGGGGCAACCACGGAGAAUAGAGACCCUCCGUUAAUUUUAUUAGUGAAAGAGUUUUUCUAGAUUAAGAUUUUAUUGUAAAAGUGAUCCACUUGUGAGGUGAUCAAAAGAAUAAGUUACCAUAGGGAUAACAGCGUAAUUUUUUUGGAGAGUUCAUAUUGAUAAAGAAGUUUGCGACCUCGAUGUUGGAUCGGGAUUUCCUGGGGAUGUAGAAGUUCCUGAGGGUUGGUCUGUUCGACCAUUAAAAUCCU
This 898-nucleotide ribosomal RNA is filed under the name Tarachaster australis. Its description in RNAcentral is "partial 16S ribosomal RNA". It matches the Rfam family "Bacterial large subunit ribosomal RNA", at positions 1206 to 2597 of the family's 2925-position model. The record is from RNAcentral. Lineage: Eukaryota; Metazoa; Echinodermata; Asteroidea; Valvatida; Ganeriidae.